CCAAACACUUGGUGUUUUUUCUCAACCAGCGCAUGUUUUACAUGCAAAUGGCCACUUUUAAAAAGUGCUGCCAGGGUUUUUUACGCCACAGCGUAAAAACGUCCGAAGAUGGGAGAAAAAGUUUUGUUUUUUCAGAAAAUUGCCGAGCGACUAAACCAAUCACGUCCCAAGUUGCGCUUGAGCGUGAAAAACAAACAUGGAGGACAAAGUAGUGAAUAAUGAGUGAAUACGAGGAGGUUUACGACAUGUCAAAUCGAAAAUAUUUCCACAAUUCAAAAUUUGCGAUUUAACUAAAAAUAACGUGUCUGUUUUCACUGUUAAGUCGCACAAACUCUUGUGAUUUUCUGCUUCCAAAACUACAGCAUAGACAAACAGCUUCCUCAUUACCCAUCUUUAUUGCGUCUGCAUUACUGGGAAUAAUAAUAGCACGUUCGAGUCAUGUCGGAAAGAUCAUAUUUAUGAGUUGAACACACACGAACGCCACCACAAAGUCGUAAUUACGAGUGGGAAACUCUGGAUUUUCUUUGCGAGUUUCCGAGUGGAGGUCAUCAGUAAGAAAACAUGGCGGAAUCAGUGGAUGCAACGUCUGUGGUUGAUGGUAAAUUUGUUCAAAUUGAAUGUUUUCUCACCUCAGAAGCUGAUUUCAGUUAUUCCCCUGGGAUACGGUGCGAGUUAAAUGUCAGGCUUUUUUAUUGACAAUAAAACAAGCUAAUUUCCGUCACAAAAUACGAUAGAAUUGUACAAUUACCAAAUAAUAUGUAACGAUAAAGUUUACACUGGCUUCAUACAUUUAUUAAAAACAUUAAAAAAAAAAAAAAAAAGCUAAUCACACCUGAUGCGCAUUCUUUGUUCUCUUUAUUUUUUACAAGUACAGUUAAUAAACCUUGCUGUAUUUUUUUUUUUUGUCGUUAAUUAAGAGAAGGCCAUCUUGCUCUGAGCACUGCCUUGAACACACCUGAUGUCGUAAUUAAGACUUCCCAAUUCGUAAAAACGUACUUUUCAGGAGGACCCGAACGCACAGUAAAUCUAAUCUAGAGAGUGAAUUCAGCUAGUUAGUGCGCCGAUACCGUACUAGCACCGUGGCCAACUCGAUUUUUUUUUAACCAGACAAAUUUGCAGUUAGAAUAAAUGACCACUGAUUAAUAUAUUACUUUUAUUCAUGUUUAAACUACAUAAAAAGAAAAACAGGAGCAGUGAUCGAGAGUAAAAAAGUCUUCAAUUUGAUAACGUCGCUACGAUUGUCUCAUUUGCAAGCCGUGUUAACUUCAGAAGUAUUUUAUUCAACCUUGAGGAUUCAGUAUGCUUUUAUUUUAUUUGCCUGCCUGUAAGUAAUUCAUUAACAAUAUUCAAACACAAGACGGUAAGAUUGCUGAUGUAUUAUGCGUAUUAUGGUUUGUUUUUGUUGUUGUUGUUUUUUUGUUUUUUUUUUAAAAAAGUUUUACCUUGAAUGUAUAUUUUAUAUCAUCUUCCAAAUGAAGGCGUGUUCUGGACAGACAGCCAUUUUGAAAGAUGUUAGCUUGUUUGCCAUGUGACCAAAGUUCAAUCUCUAUUAUUUCUGUACAUUUAUGCUUUUUUUUUUUGCUUUUUUUUUUUUUCUAGAGACACUUAUAUUUUCUCUCAAUGCCAAGAAGCUGAGGUUUAUUUUUAUACGUCAUUGAUUCGUGCAGAUUUAUUGGUCUUUCAGUACAGAAUCGAGAAUUUGCAGUCACCCCCAUCGAAAUGUUUUACUUGACACAAAUUAUAAAUGUAUUAAAUGUCAGAAGCAUGCCCUAUAUCAAUAACUACAUAUAAUUAAAGAUAUAAAUAUAUAUGGACCGGUUACUUUGUACAAAAACAACCUAUCUGUUUAUAAGAAUUGUUUUAAAUAUCCAAAGCCUAAUGUAUAUGAUAUUUUUAUGUUUUGUUUUGGGUCUUUUUUUUUUUCUUUUUUUUUUAAGCAUGCAGAAAUCUGCUGAAUAGUUUAUGUUCUAUAUUUAAUGUAAUGAGUUCUAAAGGAAAAAAUUGUUGUUCUGUUGAUUUAAGAGAAGGAUUAACGCAAGCACUUUUGCUGUUUGUCAGCUAGACUUUAAACCUCUUCGGAUUUCGAGGGUGGGUGAUGGUUCAUUAUUUCAUUUGAGAUGCUGCUAUGACUAGUUUGGAGCAGAAAAGCUGUAUUUUUAAUUACUUUUUCAGCCAAGUAGCAAUAAAAAUUUAUACUGUGGAGUGUGUUUUAAGUCAUUUCUUUCAGAAAAGACAGAGAGGCGACCAUUCCAGAAAAUUCCAUUCGCAUCAAGUCACUGCAUCCUUAAAAGACAUUCAUACUGUGGCAAAAGAGAAGGUUCUCCGUGCAAGUAACGUCAGUAAGUAAAUAAAGUAAGGAAGAUGUCGGUAAGUAAUGCAGACUGUAAAUAAAGUCAGUAAAAUAAUAAAGUCAGUAAGUAAGUUAAGUCAAGUCAGUAAGUAAAGAAAGUCUGUAAGUGAAAUAAGCCAUUAUGCAAAGCAAGUAAGUUCAGUAAGUAAAUUAAGAAAGGUCAAUAAGAAAAGUACGUCAUUAAGUAGUCAGUAAGUAAAUUAAAACAUUAAGUCGGUAUCUAAAUAGAGUAAGUAAGUAAAUAGUAAAUUAGGUAAGUCAGUCAGUAAGUAAAUUAAAUUAGCAUUUAAAGUCGGUACAUAAAGUUAGUAACUAAAUAAAAUCAGUAAGUAAAGUAGGUGAAAUAAAUAAAGACAAGUGAGUGAAGUAAAGUCAGUAGGUAAAUAAUGACUGUAAGUAAAGUAAGGUCAUUAAGUAAAUAGUCAGUAGAUAAAUAAGUAAGUCAAGUCAUUAUGUAAAUAAAGUCAGUAGGUAAAUAAGUCAGUAAAGUAAGGUCCUUAUGUCAAUAAAGUCAGUAGGUAAAUAAGUCAGUAAAGUAAGGUCAUUAUGUAAAUAAAGUCAGUAGGUAAAUAAGUCAGUAAAGUAAGGUCCUUAUGUAAAUAAAGUCAGUAGGUAAAUAAGUCAGUAUAGUAAGGUCAUUAUGUAAAUAAAGUCAGUAGGUAAAUAAGUCAGUAAAGUAAGGUCCUUAUGUAAAUAAAGUCAGUAGGUAAAUAAGUCAGUAAAGUAAGGUCAUUAUGUAAAUAAAGUCAGUAGGUAAAUAAGUCAGUAAAGUAAGGUCCUUAUGUCAAUAAAGUCAGUAGGUAAAUAAGUCAGUAAAGUAAGGUCAUUAUGUAAAUAAAGUCAGUAGGUAAAUAAGUCAGUAUAGUAAGGUCAUUAUGUAAAUAAAGUCAGUAGGUAAAUAAGUCAGUAAAGUAAGGUCCUUAUGUAAAUAAAGUCAGUAGGUAAAUAAGUCAGUAAAGUAAGGUCCUUAUGUAAAUAAAGUCAGUAGGUAAAUAAGUCAGUAAAGUAAGGUCCUUAUGUAAAUAAAGUCAGUAGGUAAAUAAGUCAGUAAAGUAAGGUCAUUAUGUAAAUAAAGUCAGUAGGUAAAUAAGUCAGUAAAGUAAGGUCCUUAUGUAAAUAAAGUCAGUAGGUAAAUAAAUCAGUAAAGUAAGGUCCUUAUGUAAAUAAAGUCAGUAGGUAAAUAAGUCAGUAAAGUAAGGUCCUUAUGUAAAUAAAGUCAGUAGGUAAAUAAAUCAGUAAAGUAAGGUCCUUAUGUAAAUAAAGUCAGUAGGUAAAUAAGUCAGUAAAGUAAGGUCCUUAUGUAAAUAAAGUCAGUAGGUAAAUAAGUCAGUAUAGUAAGGUCAUUAUGUAAAUAAAGUCAGUAGGUAAAUAAGUCAGUAAAGUAAGGUCCUUAUGUAAAUAAAGUCAGUAGGUAAAUAAGUCAGUAAAGUAAGGUCAUUAUGUAAAUAAAGUCAGUAGGUAAAUAAGUCAGUAAAGUAAGGUCCUUAUGUAAAUAAAGUCAGUAGGUAAAUAAAUCAGUAAAGUAAGGUCAUUAUGUAAAUAAAGUCAGUAGGUAAAUAAGUCAGUAAGUAAAUAGUAAGUAAAGACAAAGUAAAGUAAGGUCAGUAAGUAAAUAAAGUCAUUAAGUGAAUUUAUAAAUUCGGUCAGUAAAAGUCAGUGAAGUCCAGUAAAUUUGCACGGAAAGUGUUUCUGAAGCGGUGUACUCGUCUAAGUGAAUCCUACAAAAAAGAUACACUUCCAAUUUAAUCAGAGAAAUCCACACCAGCAUCUUACGGACUUAAAUUUACUUGCUGUAGUUUGCAUCACUUACACUGUGUCCUCACUGGGAGCCUGUUAUGAGAAAAGGGAUCGUAAACCAUUAUAAUGACUGCUGCAUGUGGAUUACAGAUCGAGAGAGGAGCAUAAAGCUCAUCAUAAAGCGCAACAGUAACUGGACACUCGGAGGGAGAGUAUACCUGUAUAUCUGUAAAGUGCGAACUAAAUUCUUCUUUUCUGAGCCUGUUCCUAUUUGUGUAAACUGGCAUCAGUUUAAAUUCUCACUCCCACUCCUCAAAUGUAUGUCACCCUUGGUCAAUUUAAAAAAAUCUUAUCUAGAGACAGAAAUCGUUAUUAAUGAGCCAAAAACGACACACAGAAAAACACUUAAACCGAGUGUUAACAUGUCAGAAGCUUUUCAUACAACCACUGAGGAAGUGCUUACAGGUGUGACAUGCUGACAAACCGGCUCUACCAGAUUUGGGGGUUGAUACGACAAGAAGGAUUUAGUUGAAGGUAAAUACAACACCCAGAAAUAAUUCACGUUAAUGUUUAUUGAAAAAAUAUAUAUAAAAAGUGUAGUGCCUUACAAAUCUCUUUAAAAAAAACAUCAAAUUUUGGGUAGUUUAUUUUGUAAUCAUGUCCUUUAAG
This is a long non-coding RNA of Ictalurus furcatus (blue catfish), 4756 nucleotides long. RefSeq lists it as uncharacterized. The record is from RefSeq and is a predicted model, not a curated record. Lineage: Eukaryota; Metazoa; Chordata; Actinopteri; Siluriformes; Ictaluridae. The transcript has 3 exons.